CUUGUGCCAGCAGCCGCGGUAAUACGAAGGGGGCUAGCGUUGUUCGGAUUUACUGGGCGUAAAGCGCACGUAGGCGGACUAUUAAGUCAGGGUGAAAUCCCGGGGCUCAACCCCGGAACUGCCUUUGAUACUGGUAGUCUCGAGUCCGGAAGAGGUGAGUGGAAUUCCGAGUGUAGAGGUGAAAUUCGUAGAUAUUCGGAGGAACACCAGUGGCGAAGGCGGCUCACUGGUCCGGUACUGACGCUGAGGUGCGAAAGCGUGG
This 262-nucleotide ribosomal RNA is filed under the name uncultured Hyphomicrobiales bacterium. Its description in RNAcentral is "uncultured Rhizobiales bacterium partial 16S ribosomal RNA". It matches the Rfam family "Bacterial small subunit ribosomal RNA", at positions 502 to 764 of the family's 1533-position model. The record is from RNAcentral. Lineage: Bacteria; Pseudomonadati; Pseudomonadota; Alphaproteobacteria; Hyphomicrobiales.